RNAcentral lists this long non-coding RNA (946 nucleotides) under Anas platyrhynchos platyrhynchos (common mallard). RNAcentral's name for it is "lncRNA (ENSAPLG00000029629.1)". Lineage: Eukaryota; Metazoa; Chordata; Aves; Anseriformes; Anatidae. The record is from RNAcentral.
GUCCUGUGUUGGUAAGCAGCUACACUGCAAUGACAGACUAUCAGUGUUUCCUCUCUGUUUGCUUAAUUCAUUUUUGCAGACAUUGCCAUGCUUCCUGGAGAACAGCAAUGUGUUUUUAGUGCUUCAGGCAAUAUUUGAUUCCCUGUUUGUUGUGGGAAAAUUAGUUAUCUCCUCGUGAAGGAGAAAGACAUGAGUCACUGUGUGGACCUAAGCAAUUAAUUUUGUCUCCCCAUCAGAGACUGGUCAGACUGCUAUUCCCAGUGAAAUUAAGACUUGUUGUAGCCUCUACCCCAAUUAGUCCAGAUUUCAAUUGCCAUUAAAGAGUAUGAGAGUUUAUUUACAAAAAGAAAAGAUUUGGGGAUCUUACACUAAUGCUGCAGGGACAACAUAAGGCCCUGCUGUGAGUUUGUUCUCAGCCAUGAGGUCACAAGGCCCUACUAAGACUGUGCUGGGCUGUGGGUUCACAAGGCCCUACUAUGGACUCUGUGCUGGGCCAUGAGGUUACAGUGCUGCACUGUGACGUUACAUUGGGCUGUGAGGUCACAAGGCCCCACUGUGACACUGUGUCAGGCUGUGAGGUGACAAAGCCUGCUGUGACGCUGUUCUGGUCAAUGAGGUUACAAUACUGUGCUGUGACACUGUGUCAUGCAGUGAAACCACAAGUGAAACCCUGCUGUGAUGCUGUGCCAAGCUGGGACAUCACAAGGUCCUGCUGUGACCAUGUGUUGGGUCAUGAGGGUACAACUCCAUUCUGUGAAGCUGUGCUGGGAUGGAUCUCAAAGCACUUCAGAAAGGACAAUGGUAGUUUCAUAAAGGAGCACCUACAGUGUGGAGGACCAAAGUGACUUGCCCUAAGAUCAAGGCCAGAUUGGCUUCUUGUCUUAAUAUAUCAAUAUAUAUAUAUUUUACUAAUAAAGCAAGAUCACAAAUGAAACCCUAACUCCUU